GGGGGCGAAACGGCUUCGACGGGGAUAUAAAAGCAUAGGUUGCAUAUCGAGCGCCUGCCAGCUCGUAAAAACGGUGGGAUUAAAAUAAUCGCAGACGAUUAUCACUACGCCUUAGCCGCAUAAUGUAGGCUAACGUCCUGCCGGGUUUUCCUGCGAACCCGGACAAGGACGUCGUUCAGCAGGAUAGCCUC
RNAcentral lists this transfer-messenger RNA (191 nucleotides) under Desulfobacterales bacterium. Its description in RNAcentral is "partial transfer-messenger RNA". It matches the Rfam family "transfer-messenger RNA", at positions 1 to 207 of the family's 374-position model. From Rfam's summary of the family: Bacterial tmRNA, also known as 10Sa RNA or SsrA, is named for its dual tRNA and mRNA-like properties. Its role is to liberate the mRNA from a stalled ribosome. To accomplish this part of the tmRNA is used as a reading frame that ends in a translation stop signal. The record is from RNAcentral. Lineage: Bacteria; Pseudomonadati; Thermodesulfobacteriota; Desulfobacteria; Desulfobacterales.